GACGAACGCUGGCGGCGUGCUUAACACAUGCAAGUCGAACGGUAAGGCCCUUCGGGGUACACGAGUGGCGAACGGGUGAGUAACACGUGGGUGAUCUGCCCUGCACUUCGGGAUAAGCCUGGGAAACUGGGUCUAAUACCGGAUAGGACCACUGCCUGCAUGGGUGGUGGUGGAAAGCUUUUGCGGUGUGGGAUGGGCCCGCGGUCUAUCAGCUUGUUGGUGGGGUGAUGGCCUACCAAGGGGACGACGGGUAGCCGGCCGGAGAGGGUGACCGGCCAAACUGGGACGGGGAUACGGCCCAGACUCCUACGGGAGGCAGCAGUGGGGAAUAUUGCACAAUGGGCGCAAGCCUGAUGCAGCGACGCCGCGUGAGGGAUGAAGGCCUUCGGGUUGUAAACCUCUUUCAGCACCGACGAAGCGCAAGUGACGGUAGGUGCAGAAGAAGGACCGGCCAACUACGUGCCAGCCGCCGCCGUAA
This 478-nucleotide ribosomal RNA is filed under the name uncultured bacterium. RNAcentral describes it as "partial 16S ribosomal RNA". It matches the Rfam family "Bacterial small subunit ribosomal RNA", at positions 28 to 523 of the family's 1533-position model. The record is from RNAcentral.